CCUACGGGGGGCAGCAGUGGGGAAUAUUGCACAAUGGGGGAAACCCUGAUGCAGCGACGCCGCGUGAGCGAAGAAGUAUUUCGGUAUGUAAAGCUCUAUCAGCAGGGAAGAAAAUGACGGUACCUGAGUAAGAAGCCCCGGCUAACUACGUGCCAGCAGCCGCGGUAAUACGUAGGGGGCAAGCGUUAUCCGGAUUUACUGGGUGUAAAGGGAGCGUAGACGGCAGUGCAAGGCUGGAGUGAAAGGCGGGGGCUCAACCCCCGGACUGCUCUUGAAACUGUACGGCUGGAGUGCAGGAGAGGGAAGUGGAAUUCCUAGUGUAGCGGUGAAAUGCGUAGAUAUUAGGAGGAACACCAGUGGCGAAGGCGGCUUACUGGACUGUAACGGACGUUGAGGCUCGAAAGCGUGGGGAGCAAACAGGAUUAGAUACCCCGGUAGUC
RNAcentral lists this ribosomal RNA (440 nucleotides) under uncultured bacterium. RNAcentral's name for it is "partial 16S ribosomal RNA". It matches the Rfam family "Bacterial small subunit ribosomal RNA", at positions 338 to 795 of the family's 1533-position model. The record is from RNAcentral.